RNAcentral lists this transfer RNA (77 nucleotides) under Patescibacteria group bacterium. RNAcentral's name for it is "tRNA-Arg". It matches the Rfam family "tRNA". From Rfam's summary of the family: Transfer RNA (tRNA) molecules are approximately 80 nucleotides in length. The record is from RNAcentral.
GCGCCUGUAGCUCAACUGGAUAGAGCGCAAGCUUCCGGAGCUUGAGGCCAGAGGUUCGAUUCCUCUCAGGCGCACCA